RNAcentral lists this long non-coding RNA (1220 nucleotides) under Homo sapiens (human). RNAcentral describes it as "HSALNT0369249". The record is from RNAcentral. Lineage: Eukaryota; Metazoa; Chordata; Mammalia; Primates; Hominidae.
UUUAACAGGAAAGUUACUAUCCAGAAAUUAACCCACAAAGGUGGGAAGAGUAUUUACCCGCUAAUCUCUUUAUUCCCUCGCCUGACAAAAUAUCUGCAUUCCUGGGCGGCCUCAAGAAAUGAACUACAGACAUCUAUUCCCUUUGUGAUACCUCCUUGGAAUCAAAGUGUGGAGUGUAACAAUGUGCCUCCACACACUCACACUAGUUGAUGCUUCAUCUUGGUGAAAUCAAGUUUUUGGAAUUACCUUUCCUAAGAUCAUUCUAUUCACAGAGAAGGAGCUUAAUGAAACUAUGGUGGAUGUAUUCUAGACAGAAGAAGGAUUAAACCAAGAUAAAAACAAUGUGAAUGAGGAAAGUGGGAGUAACAGGGAUUCCAAGAGAAAGAAGGAGAACUGGUAAUUGAUGUGGGGCCAAACAGCACAGUACAGCAGAAAGGAUCUAAAUUUGGGAAUUAUACUGAGAUUUUCCAUUUGUCAAAAAUGAGGAGUACUAAUCAGUAGUGCUAUGGAAACAAGACACUAACAGUUAUAGUCCGGAAGAAGAGAUGAUAACAUCUGUCCCUAAAAAGAGGUAAAUUCAUUUUAAAAUGACUGCUUACGAUUAUUACUUGUUAUGGUUUUGAUUAAUUUAUCAAAGAACUCAGAUGAUGUUAUAACACCUGCUACCAGAAUUCCUCUCAGGGCAGGAUAAUCUUGGUUUGCCGAAAUACUUUUUUAGCCACUUGGGAGAGAAGUUGAAAUUUGAAGAGCAUUGUCUUGGUAGAAAUCUCUUAAAGAAUACAAUGAUUAAACUGGCUUGCAGGAGAAAUCCAGAAGAAGUUUAUUUUCUUCCUGUGAAGGAAUGAGAGAAAAAUUAAAAGUAAUGUAGAAAAAAGAAAGGGAUAAUAAAGGAACUAGAUAUAUGGAAUGGGUUAAGAGAAAUACAGAGAAAGCCCAUUGAAAAAACAAGGUGGUGUAAUAGAAAAAACUUUAUUUUAAGCAAAGACGCAUAUAAUUUUUAAGAUUCUGUUUUGGGCUGAACAUCAGCAAAAUGGUAGAAUAGGGUUUUCCACUCCUUGUCCUACUGCAUAAACAUCAACUUGAACAACUAUCUGAAACACACACAAAAAAACCAUCACAGAGCUAAGGAAACCAGAAGAGAAAUUAUAGCACCUGAGUGUAGCACAGAAAUAAGAAAAAAAUGCAUCAAAGAGGAUAGAAAGGACAGUCAUGCGUUACUU